RNAcentral lists this ribosomal RNA (531 nucleotides) under Triticum aestivum (bread wheat). RNAcentral's name for it is "partial small subunit ribosomal RNA". Lineage: Eukaryota; Viridiplantae; Streptophyta; Magnoliopsida; Poales; Poaceae. The record is from RNAcentral.
AUGCCACGUGCAGGUCAUGGGCUGCCGUCGCCGCCUAGGAAGGCAGCUCCACCGUGCACUGGCGGAGGGAGAAGCCCCGUGUUUCCAGUUGGUCCAGGGCCGCGCCACCACACGCUGGGGGAUAGUGGUCGAGGGCAUCGCCUUGCCGUUGUCAUGGUCCGCGACUUCGCCGAGGUCGCCGCCUGCGCGUGCAGGCUGCGGUCCUCAGGCACUCUGCUCUUAGAGCCGCCUCUGCGCCGGAGGACGUCGACAUGCCACGCAUCGGAAGUCGAGGCCGAGCCAAGUGGCAAGGGGGCGCCAACACACCGCGUGCUGUGGAGCGCCGGGCGGUUGACGGCCACUUUCGGGAGCGUCAUCCUGGUAUCGCUCUCGAAGAGGCAGUUAGUAUUCGAGAAAGAAGAGGCAGUUAGAGAUCGAGAGAUUUCUGUCUUGGCCGUGCACGGGGCGAGUCUGCCGCUUGGAAGCUUUUCCGCCGGGGUGAGGGCCACCGCGGUAGCGGGCAACAGGCCGAACCGAGGGCUGCAGUCGUAG